RNAcentral lists this long non-coding RNA (335 nucleotides) under Manihot esculenta (cassava). Its description in RNAcentral is "long non-coding RNA (MESC_LNC002420)". Lineage: Eukaryota; Viridiplantae; Streptophyta; Magnoliopsida; Malpighiales; Euphorbiaceae. The record is from RNAcentral.
CCAGAAGGGCAGAACUCAGCUUCUCAUGCAUUUAAGCCUCCCAAACCUUCCAAACACCCCAAAACAAGCCUCCAACUUCACAAACACAUGCAUAAACCCAUAACCAUGCACAAAGGAGCUUAAACAACUAGAUUAAACUCCAAAAACAACAUCAAAAACAUACAUAGAUAGCUUAUGACCCACAUAGGCCAAAACCAUCAAAACAACCCAAAUCCUCACAUACUCUCUUCCCAUCAUGCAUACUCACUCCCACAUGUAUAGACUAGCUUAAACCUUCAACAUAUCAUCACAUAAUCAUAUAUAAACAUACAUUUGCAUAAAAACCCACAUAAAGC